CGAAAUUGAGAGUACAAUAAUGUACAAAGAGCAGUAAAAAGGUCAAAAGAGUAAAACAACAAACACAUUUUGAGAGCAUUAUCGAACAAAUAACAGAUUAAAGAAGAGAACUAAACACAUUUGUAAAACAGAUUAAUGCAAGAUUAAAGAACGCCAUAUAUAACCUGCAAAAAAAACCAAAAAAAGGUCAGACACCCUAAAUAAAAUAAAUAAUAGAAAACAAAAAACAAAGGAAAAAGAAGAAAAAGGUAGCCUCUCGGCCCUACUUUCCCUCACGCACGCAAUAAACGGGGCCCCUGACGAAUAACGCAUCAUCGGACCACCAGUUCUCGGGCGUGCAGGGUGCCAUGACCCCCUUUUCUUUUCUUUUUUUUUUCCCUUUCUUUUUCACAUUCCUUUUUUUUGUUCUCUUUCUCUUUUUUUCUUUCUCCCUUCUUCCUCAUUAGGUCUAGAAAUUUCAGAUUUGAAAAGUAUUUUUUUUACAAUAAUUUGUUAGGAGUCCUAAAAAUAAAACAAACUUAAACAGAAGCUUUCAAAAUAUAAUAAUAAAAAAAGAAAUUUGCAGUUUCAGGCUACCACGUAUGGUGCUCCGCCGUCAGAGAUCGGAGAACCCAGUAGAGCCGGCUAAGAUAAAAAGGAAAAAAACAAAGAAAAAUGGAAAAGUUUCGUGAAAAUGAAAGAAAAUGAGAAAUAAGGGUGCAACGCGCAAGGUAC
This 714-nucleotide long non-coding RNA is filed under the name Gossypium raimondii (Peruvian cotton). RNAcentral describes it as "long non-coding RNA (GRAI_LNC008938)". Lineage: Eukaryota; Viridiplantae; Streptophyta; Magnoliopsida; Malvales; Malvaceae. The record is from RNAcentral.